GUACUCACCUUGGCAGCACAUAUACUGAAAUUGGAAUGAUACAGAGAUUAGCAUGGCCUCGGUGCACGGAUAACAAAAAACUUGUGAAGCAUUCCAUAGUUUU
Small nuclear RNA from Gorilla gorilla gorilla (western lowland gorilla), 103 nucleotides. The record is from Ensembl. Lineage: Eukaryota; Metazoa; Chordata; Mammalia; Primates; Hominidae.